GACGUAGGGCGCGAGCGUUGUCCGGAUUUAUUGGGCGUAAAGAGCUCGUAGGCGGCUUGUCGCGUCGAAUGUGAAAACUCGGGGCUCAACUCCGAGCUUGCAUUCGAUACGGGCAGGCUAGAGUUCGGUAGGGGAGACUGGAAUUCCUGGUGUAGCGGUGAAAUGCGCAGAUAUCAGGAGGAACACCGGUGGCGAAGGCGGGUCUCUGGGCCGAUACUGACACUGAGGCACGAAAGCGUGGGGAGCGAACAGG
RNAcentral lists this ribosomal RNA (253 nucleotides) under uncultured bacterium. Its description in RNAcentral is "partial 16S ribosomal RNA". It matches the Rfam family "Bacterial small subunit ribosomal RNA", at positions 524 to 776 of the family's 1533-position model. The record is from RNAcentral.